RNAcentral lists this transfer RNA (89 nucleotides) under Solirubrobacterales bacterium. RNAcentral's name for it is "tRNA-Ser". It matches the Rfam family "tRNA". Rfam says of the family: Transfer RNA (tRNA) molecules are approximately 80 nucleotides in length. Their secondary structure includes four short double-helical elements and three loops (D, anti-codon, and T loops). Lineage: Bacteria; Bacillati; Actinomycetota; Thermoleophilia; Solirubrobacterales. RNAcentral also lists the same sequence under 3 other names. The record is from RNAcentral.
GGAGAGGUGGCCGAGUGGCUGAAGGCACUCGCCUGCUAAGCGAGUAAGGGGUUCACACUCCUUCGCGGGUUCGAAUCCCGCCCUCUCCG